GCCUCUGUGGUGUAGCGGUUUGAGCACUGGACUAAGACUCUAGAGACCAGGGUUCGAAUCCUGCCUCAGCCA
Non-coding RNA from Phrynosoma platyrhinos (Desert horned lizard), 72 nucleotides. The record is from the annotation of a GenBank genome assembly. Lineage: Eukaryota; Metazoa; Chordata; Lepidosauria; Squamata; Phrynosomatidae.